This 72-nucleotide transfer RNA is filed under the name Bos taurus (domestic cattle). It matches the Rfam family "tRNA". From Rfam's summary of the family: Transfer RNA (tRNA) molecules are approximately 80 nucleotides in length. Their secondary structure includes four short double-helical elements and three loops (D, anti-codon, and T loops). Lineage: Eukaryota; Metazoa; Chordata; Mammalia; Artiodactyla; Bovidae. The record is from Rfam by way of RNAcentral. RNAcentral also lists the same sequence under 3 other names.
UCCCUGGUAGCUCAGACGGUAAAGCGUCGGCCUACAAUGCUGGAGGUCUGGGUUCGAUCCCUGGGUCGGGAA